UCUCUUUAGUAUGAUAAUGGUCUUUCCUCCUCCUGCUGGGAAGACCCUUGUACGGGAUCGACAACUCUUAAGCUUAGGAACUCAUAAACUCUUUAGAGUGAAUCACAAUGCUGAUAUGUAGAAAAUAUUUGCAAAGUAAAAUUCAUUCUUAAAUAAUUAUCCACCUAAAUAAAUUUAUUAUGUUGUAUGAUUAGAUACAAGUUUAAGUAUAACAAUGUGCUUUUGAUAAUCUAUUUUCCAAAAAUUAUUGAAGAGUAAAUAAGUU
RNAcentral lists this long non-coding RNA (265 nucleotides) under Medicago truncatula (barrel medic). RNAcentral's name for it is "lncRNA gene18219". Lineage: Eukaryota; Viridiplantae; Streptophyta; Magnoliopsida; Fabales; Fabaceae. The record is from RNAcentral.